RNAcentral lists this ribosomal RNA (516 nucleotides) under Fusarium verticillioides. RNAcentral's name for it is "eukaryotic LSU rRNA". The stretch from base 135 to 288 matches the Rfam family "5.8S ribosomal RNA". The record is from RNAcentral. Lineage: Eukaryota; Fungi; Ascomycota; Sordariomycetes; Hypocreales; Nectriaceae.
ACUCCAACCCCUGUGACAUACCACUUGUUGCCUCGGCGGAUCAGCCCGCUCCCGGUAAAACGGGACGGCCCGCCAGAGGACCCCUAAACUCUGUUUCUAUAUGUAACUUCUGAGUAAAACCAUAAAUAAAUCAAAACUUUCAACAACGGAUCUCUUGGUUCUGGCAUCGAUGAAGAACGCAGCAAAAUGCGAUAAGUAAUGUGAAUUGCAGAAUUCAGUGAAUCAUCGAAUCUUUGAACGCACAUUGCGCCCGCCAGUAUUCUGGCGGGCAUGCCUGUUCGAGCGUCAUUUCAACCCUCAAGCCCUCGGGUUUGGUGUUGGGGAUCGGCGAGCCCUUGCGGCAAGCCGGCCCCGAAAUCUAGUGGCGGUCUCGCUGCAGCCUCCAUUGCGUAGUAGUAAAACCCUCGCAACUGGAACGCGGCGCGGCCAAGCCGUUAAACCCCCAACUUCUGAAUGUUGACCUCGGAUCAGGUAGGAAUACCCGCUGAACUUAAGCAUAUCAAUAAGCGGGGGAAA